AGAUUGAACGCUGGCGGCAUGCCUAACACAUGCAAGUCGCACGAGAAAGUGGAGCAAUCCACGAGUAAAGUGGCGCACGGGUGAGUAACACGUGAAUAAUCUACCUCCGAGUGGGGAAUAACUGAGAGAAAUCUUAGCUAAUACCGCAUAAUACCCACGGGUCAAAGCAGCAAUGCGCUUGGAGAGGAGUUCGCGGCCGAUUAGCUAGUUGGCGGGUAAUGGCCCACCAAGGCGAUGAUCGGUA
RNAcentral lists this ribosomal RNA (244 nucleotides) under uncultured bacterium. Its description in RNAcentral is "partial small subunit ribosomal RNA". It matches the Rfam family "Bacterial small subunit ribosomal RNA", at positions 26 to 285 of the family's 1533-position model. The record is from RNAcentral.